Molecule: long non-coding RNA, 1921 nt
Filed under: Homo sapiens (human)
Lineage: Eukaryota; Metazoa; Chordata; Mammalia; Primates; Hominidae
Description: long non-coding RNA NONHSAT199163.1
Source: RNAcentral
AGGAAAGCCCAGCGACGCCGGGCCAGCGCAUUCUUAUUUUAUGUAUGAGCAAACUAUGGAAUGGAAAAGAGAUUAUGAGUUAUUACUUGAUUUGAUUUGCCCUAAGUGUUUUUUAAACGAAGAUCUGGCAAGAGUUAGCGUGCAGUUCUACAUUGUGACAAUUCAUGAGAGCUAAGGACUGGCUGUCUCUUGGGACAAAUAGGCUUUCUUGAGUCUGGAUGAGGCCCUCACCAGAUACAGCCACCUGAUCUUGGACUUCACAGCCUCCAGAAAUGUCCUAGGAAAGAAGUUGUUUCAACUCUCAUUGGAGGAAGUAUAAGGUGAUCUCAGGGAAGGGGAGAAGGGCUGGUUGCCUGCCAAAUCUAUGAUCAAGUCGGCUCCACAGUCAGUUUGCUUCCACUUCUAAGUGAGAACAUACAGUGUUUGGUUUUUCAUUCCUGAGUUACUUCACCUAGAACAAUGGCCUCCAGCUCCAUCCAAGUUGCUGCAGAAGACAUUUCAUUCCUUUUAUGGCUGAGUAGUAUUCCAUGGAGAUUCUGCACUAGAAAUUCCUCCCAGUCGAGGGCUUUUUUUCCCUCCUGUGAAAAAUAAACCAGAAGAAAGGAGAAGAUGUAUUUUUGUAAUUUAGUUUCAUGAUUUUAAGGACCAAAUCUCAGCUUUAUUUCUCUAGAAUAGGAAAUAGAGAUAUCGUUGUCAUCUUAUGUUUUUUCUCACUUGAUCUGAUCUAUGAUCUGUUGAAACUUGAUCAUCUGUUCUUGCAAGUGAGGUUUUGUUGCUACAUUUCUGAACUUCAAAAUUAGAAAAAUAAUAUCCUGAAGCUUCUAAUACUUACAGUUGAGCUGACUUUAUAUUCUGUUUACACCUACCAUUUUACAUAAAUCUUUAUGCCUUUUAUUUAGAAGACAACAUAAAAAUUAAAAGAGAAAAAAUAUCCCCCAUAUUCAUAAUACCUCUCUAUGGACUAUUCUUUUGUGGGAUAAGGUAGGUGGGAGAAUGGAAGAGUAGCAGACCCAUUAGAAUACAAAACAUGUGCCCUGGAAUACACUUGUGUCAGUGACAAAUGCUGCUUUGCUGUGCUACAUCGAGUACAAGGGAAAUACAUGGGCUAUCUUCAGCACAGAACACAAACUCUGCCUUCUUUUCUCAAGUCCAGUGAUUCAAGUUUGACACACCACACCACGGUGGAUGUGCCUUGUCAUGACACAUCUUCUCAGCAGCACUAGAAGAUACAUCCAAAGUCCUGUGAGCAAGGACACAGCGAGAAGAUGGCUGUCUACAAGCCAGGAAGAGAGUCCUCACCAGAACCAAACCCUGCUGGACUUUGAUCUUGGACUUCCCAGCCUCUAAAACUGUGAAGACAUAAAUUUCUGUUGUUAAACCCACACAGGUCUGUGGUAUCUGUUUAUUAUGGCAGCCCAGUAAGACUAAGACAGGCCAUCACAAGACAUGAAUGUUUUGGACCUUCUCUUGGGCCCUAGUAAACAGAAAUCAGGUACGCAAAAGGGGUAAGCAUAUAAUUUCCUUUAUUUUUAUUUUUAAUGUGUAAGCCUUAGGUUUUUAUUUAUUUAUUUGGUGAAGACAAUCACAUUGUGUACGUACAAUGUAAUUAUAUUGUUGACGAGAAGUUACUUAAAAUUUUUUAAAAAUUCUAAUCGAUUUCUAGAUGUCCAAAUGAGAAGAUAGCAUUUAUAUACCAUCAGAACAUAAAAUAAUUCAAAAAAAUAAAUUUAUAAAACAAUAUGUAUUAUAUUGAGAGAAAGAGAGGGAGAGAGUAUUGGAAGAAUAUAUGCAAAUACAAUGUGAUAAUGUGAUGUCUUUGUGAGAAUGCUAUAUGUCAUUUUCUUUGUUUAUAUGAAUUUUUACAAUUUUUACCUUUGAAAUAUAAAAAAGAGAGAAUAAAAGUCAUUGAAAAAAUCAAAAG